Molecule: long non-coding RNA, 1367 nt
Filed under: Amborella trichopoda
Lineage: Eukaryota; Viridiplantae; Streptophyta; Magnoliopsida; Amborellales; Amborellaceae
Description: long non-coding RNA (ATRI_LNC003611)
Source: RNAcentral
UUAUACAAACCACACCCUUAUUUUUCUCAGACUAACAGUAUGUUGCAAGGGGCAUGCGCGCACACGCUCUCUCUACAUCAAUGCACAACACAGUUUUCUAGUCUUGAUUGGGCGCUUGCGUUACAUGCGGACUGAUAUUUCAAUCUCGUGGAUUUCUUCCUUGAAAUGUUACUCGUGGGAAAAGUUUAUAUGCUACCUAGGCCUUGAGGAAAAACGUAGAACCGCACUGCAAAAACCGCUGAGAUGGGUUAUUCCUUCAAUGGAAAACUCUCAAAUAGCUUGACAACUAUAGAUCUGACAACAAAAAAAAAAAAAUACAAAUUUCAAACCUCAAAAAUAGUACAUUUUGUAAUAUAUUAUCUAGACUAUUCAUUUUCAAGUGUCCAAAUAUGUCAUGAUUUGCACCAUUUUACUGCUUCAAAAUUAAUGAAUAGGGAUGGGAAUGAAUUUUUAAGACACAAUUAGAGCUUUUAGAGCCAAAACUGCAUUUUCCUACGAGGUAUUGAAGAUCCAUCCCUACUUUUUCUGCCUAGACCUCAUGCCUUUCCUACCUAAUGUUCGUGCACCAUAUUAUUGAAAUUCUUAAAUAUUUGUACUGAAAUAAAGGAAAUUUCUAGAUAAAUGCCGUUACAAGAUGUAUAUUUGGAAAAAAGGAGAGCAUACUUCCACAAAGUAUUCAAGAAUUUCAUUAAAAAACCUCAAUCAAUUAGGUGUGAAAACUAUUCUGAAUUGAAUCAGUUACUUUCAAGGCUCGAGUAAGUUGAAGGGUGGUGGUUUCAGAGCCUAUGUGAGAUAUGUUAGCAGCCAUCAGGAGUUCUAAAAAGGGAAUUUACCAAACCAACUUCCCCCCCCCCCCCUCCCCCCCUUUUUAAUCCGUUAAUCAUCGGAAUCGAGGUUGGGAUGUUGAGUCGAGGCAUCCACCCCCCAACCACCAAUGGCCUAACCUGACCAACCACCUUUGCAUUGUCUUCACCUUCCAAGAUAUGCAUGAGCAUGCUCACAUGCUUCAUGUAUGGGCAUGUGUGCACAAUUUGAUGUUUUGAAUUGCCUCCAUUUCUUGGCUAGUUCUUGUGGCCACGAAUCUGUGCAGGGAGGAAUCGAUAACGGCCACGGCCGAUCUUGAAGCUUUGAUGCUAACAGCACAUAUGCAUGAUCAAUAUGCAUCAUCAAUAAGUCCUAACUACUUGUUGGAAUCCACUCAAAAGGGAAGUUACGCUAUAUUCAACUAUAAAAUGGAAGUAAUCAAUGUAUGCAUUGCAGUUUACAUUAGUUGAAAGGUUGGAAAAGCCAAAGAAUGAGAUAUCGAUCAAAUCCAACUUUUGAGCUUUCAAUCAGUCUUGAUAUCGGGCUUCUCAAAUAUGGUACAG